AUUGAACGCUGGCGGCAUGCCUUACACAUGCAAGUCGAACGGCAGCACGGGAGCUUGCUCCUGGUGGCGAGUGGCGAACGGGUGAGUAAUACAUCGGAACGUACCCUGAAGUGGGGGAUAACGUAGCGAAAGUUACGCUAAUACCGCAUAUUCUGUGAGCAGGAAAGAGGGGGAUCGCAAGACCUCUUGCUUUAGGAGCGGCCGAUGUCGGAUUAGCUAGUUGGUGAGGUAAAGGCUCACCAAGGCGACGAUCCGUAGCGGGUCUGAGAGGAUGAUCCGCCACACUGGGACUGAGACACGGCCCAGACUCCUACGGGAGGCAGCAGUGGGGAAUUUUGGACAAUGGGCGCAAGCCUGAUCCAGCCAUGCCGCGUGAGUGAAGAAGGCCUCGGUGUAAGCUCUUCGUGGGAGAAU
This 414-nucleotide ribosomal RNA is filed under the name uncultured bacterium. Its description in RNAcentral is "bacterial SSU rRNA". It matches the Rfam family "Bacterial small subunit ribosomal RNA", at positions 30 to 446 of the family's 1533-position model. The record is from RNAcentral.